RNAcentral lists this ribosomal RNA (429 nucleotides) under Acidobacteriota bacterium. RNAcentral describes it as "Acidobacteria bacterium partial 16S ribosomal RNA". It matches the Rfam family "Bacterial small subunit ribosomal RNA", at positions 355 to 776 of the family's 1533-position model. Lineage: Bacteria; Pseudomonadati; Acidobacteriota. The record is from RNAcentral.
UGGGGAAUUUUGGACAAUGGGGGAAACCCUGAUCCAGCCAUCCCGCGUGUGCGAUGAAGGCCUUCGGGUUGUAAAGCACUUUUGGCAGGAAAGAAACGUCAUGGGUUAAUACCCCGUGAAACCGACGGUACCUGCAGAAUAAGCACCCGCUAACUACGUGCCAGCAGCCGCGGUAAUACGUAGGGUGCAAGCGUUAAUCGGAAUUACUGGGCGUAAAGCGUGCGCAGGCGGUUCGGAAAGAAAGAUGUGAAAUCCCAGAGCUCAACUUUGGAACUGCAUUUUUAACUACCGGGCUAGAGUGUGUCAGAGGGAGGUGGAAUUCCGCGUGUAGCAGUGAAAUGCGUAGAUAUGCGGAGGAACACCGAUGGCGAAGGCAGCCUCCUGGGAUAACACUGACGCUCAUGCACGAAAGCGUGGGGAGCAAACAGG